GACAGAGGGUGCAAACGUUGUUCGGAAUUACUGGGCGUAAAGCGCGUGUAGGCGGUGCGGUAAGUCGGAUGUGAAAGCCCUGGGCUCAACCUAGGAAGUGCAUUCGAAACUGCCGGACUUGAGUUCUGGAGAGGAAGGCGGAAUUCUCGGUGUAGAGGUGAAAUUCGUAGAUAUCGGGAAGAACAUCGGUGGCGAAGGCGGCCUUCUGGACAGAUACUGACGCUGAGACGCGAAAGCGUGGGGAGCAAACAGG
This 253-nucleotide unclassified non-coding RNA is filed under the name uncultured Polyangiaceae bacterium. RNAcentral's name for it is "contains 16S-23S intergenic spacer region". It matches the Rfam family "Bacterial small subunit ribosomal RNA", at positions 524 to 776 of the family's 1533-position model. Lineage: Bacteria; Pseudomonadati; Myxococcota; Polyangiales; Polyangiaceae. The record is from RNAcentral.